Molecule: long non-coding RNA, 1286 nt
Organism: Anopheles merus
Lineage: Eukaryota; Metazoa; Arthropoda; Insecta; Diptera; Culicidae
Exons: 3
Source: RefSeq, a predicted model, not a curated record
AGUACAGACGAAAGACUUUAAUCCAUCUAGCAAGCGUUGGCUGUCGUAUGUGCGUGUGGUACUGUGCGCGUAGGAGGCAAAACGGUUGGUUGGUGCGUAAAAGCAAGUGCAUAUAGGGAAAUUAAUCCCACUUUUACUCGAAAGCUCAGAAAAACCACGUACGGGCAUAAAGUGCGGAAGAAAUAUGCGUGUGGUGUUUCUUUUUUCACCGGAAAAUGUGUCUUUCACCCUCUUCCGUGGAGCAAGUUUCGUGUGCAUAAGAAAUUGUAGCUAGGAAAAGUGCUGGCUUUCCUCCCUACGACCAAGAGUGGCGAGAAUUCUCGAGAAGUGGCGAGAAGAAAGGACUUUAAUGUUACCGUGGCUUUAGUCGCUCCAGGAUGGGGGUUGUAAUGAACAAAAAGUAAGUGGCGCUUGCUUGCUUCCUGCUCUUCUUCACCUCAAGAAACAGUCGUAAAAAUAGAUUCGAUCACGCAAAACGCUAAGUCGGGACGACGACGCCGACGACGGGCGAAAAAGGACAUUCGCAAACGGGUUCUCUUCUAAAUGGCUGUGCUGCUGUUUGCCGUUGUUUGUGUGAGGAGGAGCGUGAUGAGGUGAAAGCGCAUUAGCAAUGUUGGGAAGAGUUGGUGGGUGCGGGGAGACCCCAAAAGGAUCCGUACACGCAGCGCGCAGAAUGUCUUAUUUUAAAAGCACAGCUUUUGUUAGAAAGUGGCACAUACACAAUUAAAACGGCCACAUGGAGAAUGCACCCGAAGGAAGGAGGAAGGGGGGGGGCGAUGUCCAACAGCCGUUAGUGGGGUGUGAAUUCAGCGUCCAGAGGAUUAGAAAUGUAAGCAAUGUGGUUCAUUUAAGCGGAUGAGUAAAAAGCUCUAAAACCCUAAGCUCCACACAAAAACAAAAAAAGGAAACCACAGGAAAAUGGGAAAAAAAAACUCUGGGAAAAAGCGUCUCUCUCUCUCCUGGUGCGGUGAGGGAAGGAGCAAUGAGGAUGCUUUGGUGAAAUUGCACCGAGUUCAGCAAACGCCGCAGGAUAACUAUGGGGUGGGAUUAUGAGCUACUCGCGUACAUCCCCAGGAAUCGUUUUCCAAUUUCAAAAAAACAAAAAAAAAACUACAUGAUAGAUGAAAACAACCUCCGCGUGCACGUGUUUCUCCAUACCCCAUUUAUCUCGAUAGGCCGGAGGCAAUCUCAACUUUUAAUACUAAGGAUUCGUGUUAUGAACAUUUGCCUGAUAGUGUGAGUGUGUGUGUACUAGAUGCAAUAAAAUUCUAUGAUUGCUGAGUCCC